RNAcentral lists this ribosomal RNA (511 nucleotides) under uncultured bacterium. RNAcentral's name for it is "partial 16S ribosomal RNA". It matches the Rfam family "Bacterial small subunit ribosomal RNA", at positions 28 to 507 of the family's 1533-position model. The record is from RNAcentral.
GACAAGCGCUGGCGGCAUGCCUAACACAUGCAAGUCGAACGGACAGACCAGGGAAGCUUUUCGGAGUGGAACUGGAAAGUUAGUGGCGGAUGGGUGAGUAACGCGUGGACAACCUACCUUGUAAAGGGGAAUAACCUCGAGAAAUCGAAGCUAAUACCCCAUAAUAACCUUGCUUCGCAUGAAGUAAGGAGGAAAGGCGGCCUUAGCGCUGUCGAUACAAGAUGGGUCCGCGUCUGAUUAGCUAGUUGGUGAGGUAAAGGCUCACCAAGGCGACGAUCAGUAGCCGGCCUGAGAGGGUGAACGGCCACAUUGGGACUGAGACACGGCCCAAACUCCUACGGGAGGCAGCAGUGGGGAAUCUUCCGCAAUGGGCGAAAGCCUGACGGAGCAAUGCCGCGUGAGUGAAGAAGGCCUUCGGGUUGUAAAACUCUGUCCUUAUCGAAGAGAGAGUGUUGUAGUAACUGACAAUACUAGGACGGUAGAUGAGGAGGAAGCCCCGGCUAACUAUGUG